This 485-nucleotide ribosomal RNA is filed under the name uncultured bacterium. RNAcentral describes it as "bacterial SSU rRNA". It matches the Rfam family "Bacterial small subunit ribosomal RNA", at positions 29 to 508 of the family's 1533-position model. The record is from RNAcentral.
AUUGAACGCUGGCGGCAUGCUUUACACAUGCAAGUCGAACGGCAGCACGGGGGCAACCCUGGUGGCGAGUGGCGAACGGGUGAGUAAUGCAUCGGAACGUGCCCAGUAGUGGGGGAUAACGCGUCGAAAGAUGUGCUAAUACCGCAUACGCACUACGGUGGAAAGCGGGGGACCGCAAGGCCUCGCGCUAUUGGAGCGGCCGAUGUCCGAUUAGCUAGUUGGUGGGGUAAUGGCCUACCAAGGCGACGAUCGGUAGCUGGUCUGAGAGGAUGAUCAGCCACACUGGGACUGAGACACGGCCCAGACUCCUACGGGAGGCAGCAGUGGGAAAUUUUGGACAAUGGGCGCAAGCCUGAUCCAGCCAUGCCGCGUGAGUGAAGAAGGCCUUCGGGUUGUAAAGCUCUUUCGGCCGGAACGAAAUCGUCCGGGCUAAUACCCCGGAUGGAUGACGGUACCGGAAGAAGAAGCACCGGCUAACUACGUGC